Molecule: long non-coding RNA, 913 nt
Organism: Otolemur garnettii (small-eared galago)
Lineage: Eukaryota; Metazoa; Chordata; Mammalia; Primates; Galagidae
Exons: 3
Source: RefSeq, a predicted model, not a curated record
AUCUUUUAGGCUUUCAUUAUCUUGUCAAAUUGUGGCUUCUUAUCAAAUAUAUGCUACAUGUGUAUUCAAAACUACUGCUGACCUGCUAUGAACAGAAAGUUUGUUUUUCGGGUUUCCCUCGUUUAGCUUUGUUUUCUCACUCAUGCAGUUUUGAGGAAGGCCUGCUGAGCUGCGUGAGUACCUGAUGAGGCUGCCCCUUCCCCUGCUGCACACUGAUGUCUGUAAAGGAGGCCUCUUCGGGCUCUGACAGAUAAUGACCUUCUCAAUAUGGUGGUCAGAUCAUGUUUCCAGCCUCAGGAGCUACGUACUAAGUCAUUCCGUUGGGAAACUGUUACUAAAACAGAAAGGUUCUGGGCGGCUGACGUGGCAUCACAGUUUACAGUGUCUGCCAGCUGUGAGUAACAGCAGGCUGUCACCAUGGGAAAUAACAGCAGCAGCAGCAGCAGCAGCAACUCCUGAUUUAGGGGCAAAAGAUUGUCUCUUCCAAGGAGGAUUACAAACAGUGCAGUCAUUGGAGAGACAACCUUUACGGCCCAGCAGUGAGGUGAGAGACCAUCACCCACAGUCAGAAUUCCACAGCACUUGCUAGGUUCUGGGAGUGGCUUGAGGGGCUGAGAGAGAAUCUUACAGCUUAGAUCCAUCACCCUGUCUCAGCACGAGACCCAAGAGUGGUGGCUUUCCUUGGACUAGUAACCACAUGAGAGGCUAACAAGCUUUUUGAAUGCAAGAAUUGUUUCUUUUACUUUUGUGUGUGUGUCAAAUCCUGGGACACAAUAGGAACUUGGUAAGCAUUUGCUGAAAGAAUAAACCAUUUAGGUGUUUUUAGAGCAAAUUCUGAAUAUUAAAAUGUUAUUUCAAAAGUAGACAUGCACUUCUCUGUGUUCACCUUAAUGAUGCUGAGGAAACGCAUAUU